This is a long non-coding RNA of Felis catus (domestic cat), 863 nucleotides long. RefSeq lists it as uncharacterized. The transcript has 3 exons. NCBI's taxonomy places the organism in Eukaryota, Metazoa, Chordata, Mammalia, Carnivora, Felidae. The record is from RefSeq and is a predicted model, not a curated record.
UCAAUUUCUUUUCAGCUGCGGGGACUGGAAGCAAAUUUACAUGCACUGCUGGGAGGCACUUGCAUGUUUGAUUUCAAGUCUCAUCUGUGAAUUCCUGUCUCAUCAUCAGGAUCUCUCCAACAGGGAUGGAGGUAGAAGGAUGCCUGAAUUUAUCUGAAGCCACGUUGAGAUAUCCACAUAACUGAUUUAGAAAUAGUUCUCACUGGACUGACACACUGAAGUCGACCCCUGGUUCACACCAGCCACCUGCCGCUUCAUUCCUCCAGUCCAUCUGCCAUAAAGUCAGCACUGCAAUACAGUAAUAGAAAUCUUUAGAGAAACCAUCUGCUGCCUAAUAUUCUCCAUCAUCAGCCAAGGUUAUAAGCGUUGCCUUUACAUUGUGCGGCCUGGGACCUCGAAGACACAGGUUCAAAUAAUAUAACAUCAUCAUCAUCAUCAUGGCCCUCAGAACCACAACAUUCAAAUAGUUUUUCACCAAUAAGGUGAAAGAGUGUAAUACACUCCUUUUUCCUCCUCCCUUUCCCACCAUUCAACCAAAUCCAGUCCUGGAUCAAAGAUUCUGGAAAAUAUCACUCUCUUUAAGCUUUAACCAACUCGGAAUGGAAAUGCAGCCAGGACUCAAAAUAAAUUAUGCAGAGAUAUUGAAUAUAAUGGAAUAGGAAUGUGGAAUGACAAGUAAUAGAAAUGUGUAUGCUAUAGGGCUAGUUGAAAGUGUUUAAGGUAAUCAUUACUCAAUGGGGAAUUAAAGGAGUGAAAAUAAAUCUGUUGCUAAAUGGCAAAGAUUUCUUUAGUGUUUACCAUUUAGUACUUCUAAUUUUAUAAUAAUUACAAAUUUAGGCUAUAUUUGAUAUAAAUAUUUACUC